CCUACGGGAGGCAGCAGUAAGGAAUAUUGGUCAAUGGAGGCAACUCUGAACCAGCCAUGCCGCGUGCAGGAUGACGGCCCUAUGGGUUGUAAACUGCUUUUAUACAAGAGAAAACCCUGGUACGUGUACCAGGUUGAUAGUAUUGUAAGAAUAAGCAUCGGUUAACUUCGUGCCAGCAGCCGCGGUAAGACGAAGGAUGCAAGCGUUAUCCGGAUUCAUUGGGUUUAAAGGGUGCGUAGGCGGACUGAUAAGUCAGUGGUGAAAUCUCUUUGCUUAACAAAGAAACUGCCAUUGAUACUGUCGGUCUAGAGUAUAGAUGACGUUGGCGGAAUAUGACAUGUAGUGGUGAAAUACUUAGAUAUGUCAUAGAACACCGAUUGCGAAGGCAGCUAACGAAACUAUAAACUGACGCUGAGGCACGAAAGUGCGGGGAUCAAACAGGAUUAGAUACCCUGGUAGUCCGCACCGUAAACGAUGAUUACUCGUUGUUGGCGAUAUGACAGUCAGCGACCAAGCGAAAGCGAUAAGUAAUCCACCUGGGGAGUACGCCGGCAACGGUGAAACUUAAAUGAAAUUGACGG
Molecule: ribosomal RNA, 581 nt
Filed under: uncultured bacterium
Lineage: Bacteria
Description: bacterial SSU rRNA
Rfam family: Bacterial small subunit ribosomal RNA
Source: RNAcentral